This 253-nucleotide ribosomal RNA is filed under the name uncultured bacterium. RNAcentral describes it as "partial 16S ribosomal RNA". It matches the Rfam family "Bacterial small subunit ribosomal RNA", at positions 524 to 776 of the family's 1533-position model. The record is from RNAcentral.
UACGUAGGGUGCAAGCGUUGUCCGGAAUUAUUGGGCGUAAAGAGCUCGUAGGCGGUCUGUCACGUCGGAUGUGAAAAUCCAGGGCUUAACCCUGGACCUGCAUUCGAUACGGGCAGACUAGAGUCCGGUAGGGGAGUGUGGAAUUCCCGGUGUAGCGGUGAAAUGCGCAGAUAUCGGGAGGAACACCAGUGGCGAAGGCGGCACUCUGGGCCGGAACUGACGCUGAGGCGCGAAAGCGUGGGGAGCAAACAGG